UCUCUCUCUCUCUCUCUCUCUCCAACUUUGAGUCCAUGAGAGCACGCUCAAUGAUGUUUUUCUCAUUGCUUAAAAGGGAGUUCGAUGCAUGAUGACUUCAACUCAAGUAAAAUUUAAAGUAAACAGAGCGGGUUCAUCAAGUCUAAAUCUGCAAGACUUGUUGCUCAACCUGCUGCUGGCUGGCCCGGAAGCUGAGGCGGGAGACAAUCAAUUCCUAAAUUUACACGCACCGCCGUGCUGCAUAUGCAUGUUUGAAAGUUUUCUGUUAUUAAGGGAACCACACUUGUUCAAGAAUAGCUUCUGCUGCUCGAUCGAGUCAUCUUUUUGCAAGGUAUGCAAAGUAGAAAAAUUAGUCUCUUUGUAAUGACAUGCAAAUUCUAAUUAUAACCUUUAUUUUCAACA
This is a non-coding RNA of Malus domestica (apple), 402 nucleotides long. Lineage: Eukaryota; Viridiplantae; Streptophyta; Magnoliopsida; Rosales; Rosaceae. The record is from RefSeq and is a predicted model, not a curated record.